Molecule: transfer RNA, 56 nt
Filed under: Triticum aestivum (bread wheat)
Lineage: Eukaryota; Viridiplantae; Streptophyta; Magnoliopsida; Poales; Poaceae
Also listed under: 1 other name
Rfam family: tRNA
About the family: Transfer RNA (tRNA) molecules are approximately 80 nucleotides in length. Their secondary structure includes four short double-helical elements and three loops (D, anti-codon, and T loops).
Source: Rfam by way of RNAcentral
GCUUAGUUGGUAAAGCACAAGGCUCUUAACCUCGCGGACAUGGAUUCAAGUCCCAU